GUGGCAGACUUGUGCCCGUUGCAUUAACUAGUGAUUUAAUGUGACUUCAUUCUGCCACAUAAAUAAAAACCAGUGGUUCCUGCCGACAGGGCCUGUCCAGAUAUCGGGCUCCCUGUGCGAUGGCUCCACACAGA
This 134-nucleotide small nucleolar RNA is filed under the name Xenopus laevis (African clawed frog). The record is from RNAcentral. Lineage: Eukaryota; Metazoa; Chordata; Amphibia; Anura; Pipidae.